RNAcentral lists this ribosomal RNA (512 nucleotides) under uncultured bacterium. RNAcentral's name for it is "partial 16S ribosomal RNA". It matches the Rfam family "Bacterial small subunit ribosomal RNA", at positions 28 to 507 of the family's 1533-position model. The record is from RNAcentral.
GAUGAACGCUGGCGGCGUGCCUAAUACAUGCAAGUCGAACGAAACUUCUUUAUCACCGAGUGCUUGCACUCACCGAUAAAGAGUUGAGUGGCGAACGGGUGAGUAACACGUGGGCAACCUGCCCAAAAGAGGGGGAUAACACUUGGAAACAGGUGCUAAUACCGCAUAACCAUAGUUACCGCAUGGUAACUAUGUAAAAGGUGGCUAUACUACCGCUUUUUGAUGGGCCCGCGGCGCAUUAGCUAGUUGGUAGGGUAAAGGCUUACCAAGGCAAUGAUGCGUAGCAGAAGUGAGAGGUUGAUAGGCCACAUUGGGACAGAGACACGGCCCAAACUCCUACGGGAGGCAGCAGGAGGGAAUCUUCCACCAUGGGCGAAAGCAUGAUGGAGCAACGCCGCGUGGGUGAAGAAGGUCUUCGGAUCGUAAAACCCUGUUGUUAGAGAAGAAAGUGCGUGAGAGUAACUGUUCACGUUUCGACGGUAUCUGACCAGAAAGCCACGGCUAACUACGUG